Molecule: long non-coding RNA, 263 nt
Filed under: Bos taurus (domestic cattle)
Lineage: Eukaryota; Metazoa; Chordata; Mammalia; Artiodactyla; Bovidae
Description: long non-coding RNA NONBTAT021901
Source: RNAcentral
GCUACCUUAGAGCAGUACUUGGAGGACACGAUGAAGAAUCCAUCCAUUGUUGGAGCGCUAGGCACGGAUUCACAAUGGCUCAAUCUGGGCUGCCUCAGAACCCUGUCACAUGAGCAUGCUGGGGUGAUAUCUGUUUUAGCCCAGCAAGCAGCUAAGCUAACCUUAGACCCCACUGAUAUUCCCGUGGUAUGUCUAGAAUUAGAUAAUGGGGAUGUUAGAAGCACGACAGCAUCACACUGGCCGUGCACAAAAUGGCCUCUUGA